This 253-nucleotide ribosomal RNA is filed under the name uncultured bacterium. RNAcentral's name for it is "partial 16S ribosomal RNA". It matches the Rfam family "Bacterial small subunit ribosomal RNA", at positions 524 to 776 of the family's 1533-position model. The record is from RNAcentral.
UACGUAGGUGGCAAGCGUUGUCCGGAUUUACUGGGCGUAAAGAGCGCGCAGGCGGUCGACCAAGUCGCGUGUGAAAGCCCCCGGCUCAACUGGGGAGGGUCACGCGAUACUGAUCGACUCGAAGGCAGGAGAGGGUAGUGGAAUUCCUGGUGUAGUGGUGAAAUGCGUAGAUAUCGGGAGGAACACCAGUGGCGAAGGCGGCUUCCUGGUCCAGCACCGACGUUCAGGCACGAAAGCGUGGGGAGCAAACAGG